RNAcentral lists this ribosomal RNA (18 nucleotides) under Oxalis conorrhiza. Its description in RNAcentral is "partial 18S ribosomal RNA". Lineage: Eukaryota; Viridiplantae; Streptophyta; Magnoliopsida; Oxalidales; Oxalidaceae. The record is from RNAcentral.
GAUCAUUGUCGAUACCUG